RNAcentral lists this ribosomal RNA (433 nucleotides) under uncultured bacterium. Its description in RNAcentral is "partial 16S ribosomal RNA". It matches the Rfam family "Bacterial small subunit ribosomal RNA", at positions 29 to 507 of the family's 1533-position model. The record is from RNAcentral.
AACGAACGCUGGCGGCAUGCCUAACACAUGCAAGUCGAACGAGACCUUCGGGUCUAGUGGCGCACGGGUGCGUAACGCGUGGGAACCUGCCCUUAGGUUCGGAAUAACUCCCCGAAAGGGGUGCUAAUACCGGAUAAUGUCUUCGGACCAAAGAUUUAUCGCCUUUGGAUGGGCCCGCGUUGGAUUAGCUAGUUGGUAGGGUAAAAGCCUACCAAGGCGAUGAUCCAUAGCUGGUCUGAGAGGAUGAUCAGCCACACUGGGACUGAGACACGGCCCAGACUCCUACGGGAGGCAGCAGUGGGGAAUAUUGGACAAUGGGCGGAAGCCUGAUCCAGCAAUGCCGCGUGAGUGAUGAAGGCCUUAGGGUUGUAAAGCUCUUUUACCCGGGAUGAUAAUGACAGUACCGGGAGAAUAAGCUCCGGCUAACUCCGUG